RNAcentral lists this long non-coding RNA (1114 nucleotides) under Apteryx haastii (Great spotted kiwi). RNAcentral describes it as "lncRNA (ENSAHAG00000004118.1)". Lineage: Eukaryota; Metazoa; Chordata; Aves; Apterygiformes; Apterygidae. The record is from RNAcentral.
GAUGUGCUUGUAGAAGGAGCGGGUGAAGUAGCACUCGAGCAGGCGGUUGUCGUAGACGGCCUUAGCCACGAUACGCCCCACGAACUUGAAGUAGCUGAGGUGGUUGGGGUUGCAGUGGGACGAGGGGUUGAUGGUGUAGGUGACGCGGUCGCCCGGCGAGGUGCGGAACAGCGCGUACAUGGGGUUGAACAUCUCCCGUGAGAUGAUCAUGUACCACUCGCGCAGCAGCCCCCCGGCGUCCUGGCCCUCCUCGCCCUCGAACACGAUGUACCUGGGGGGGAGCCGCACCAUGUCGGGGGGGCCGGGCCGCUGCCUGCCCCCCCGACACAACCCCUGACGCCCUCCCUGCCCCCAGCUGAGGGACCCCGGCGUCCAGGGCGGGCGCUCACAAGCGGUUCUUCAUCUCCUCGGGUGACUUGCGGUGCAGCUCGCGGUAGGAGUCCUCGAAGACGUGGUCGCGGCGGACGUGCACGGCCAUGUCCUCCUUGCGCAGCCCCUCAUCCAGGCGCUCCAGCUCCUGCCGGAAAUACUUGCGCUUGACGUCGAAGUCCAGCACACGGAUGUAGUCCACCAGGACAGCGAAGGGGCCGUCGGCCAGGUGAGUGGUCGACUGGCGCAGGAUCUGGUUCAGCACCGUCCGGUGGGUUUCUGGGGUGGGGGAACACGGCGGGUCAGCCUCGAACUUCCCCCGCACCUCCCCAAACCACCACAGUCCCCCCAGAGCCCCCACAGUAUCCCCGGGGCCUCCAGGAGCCCCGCGCCAAUGCCCAACAUCCCCCAAAGCACCAAUUCCCCCCCCCCAAAAGCCCCCGCAGCAGCCCAAGCGCCAGCGGCCCCGGGGCCCCGCUCACCAGCGAAGCGGAGGAACUUCUGGGUGUCGGGGGGGAGGCUGGCCGAGAUGUGCAUGGAGGAGGGCUCGCGGGAGAAGAAGGGGUCGAGUGAGGAGGGGGUGGCGGGCGUCAGCGGGGCCGGCGACAGCGGCGGCGGCUCGUCCUUGAUGUGGGCCAGCUGGCUCUCACGCGUGUCCCGCACUGGCGGCCUCCCCUCCCCCCCCCGCUUCUGCCCCUCUCUGGUCUCUGUGCCCCCUGCUACUCCUGUGCCCCAGAGUCCCAAA